AACGAACGCUGGCGGCAUGCCUAACACAUGCUAGUCGAACGAGAUCUUCGGGUCUAGUGGCGCACGGGUGCGUAACGCGUGGGAAUCUGCCCUUUGGUUCGGAAUAACAGUUGGAAACGACUGCUAAUACCGGAUGAUGACGAAAGUCCAAAGAUUUAUCGCCAGAGGAUGAGCCCGCGUAGGAUUAGCUAGUUGGUGUGGUAAAGGCGCACCAAGGCGACGAUCCUUAGCUGGUCUGAGAGGAUGAUCAGCCACACUGGGACUGAGACACGGCCCAGACUCCUACGGGAGGCAGCAGUGGGGAAUAUUGGACAAUGGCGAAAGCCUGAUCCAGCAAUGCCGCGUGAGUGAUGAAGGCCUUAGGGUUGCAAAGCUCUUUUACCCGGGAUGAUAAUGACAGUACCGGGAGAAUAAGCUCCGGCUAACUCCGUGCCAGCCGCCGCAGUAA
Molecule: ribosomal RNA, 448 nt
Filed under: uncultured bacterium
Lineage: Bacteria
Description: partial 16S ribosomal RNA
Rfam family: Bacterial small subunit ribosomal RNA
Source: RNAcentral